GUCCCUGUUUGUGGGUGGUGUCUGUGGGUGACUGUAGUGGUGUCACGGUGCUGGUGAAGUCACGGUGUUGGUGAAGUCACGGUGUUGGUGAAGUCACGGUGUUGGUGAAGUCACGGUGUUGGCGGUGUCACGGCGGCCUCCAGGCGCUGGGGCUGGAGCGGGUGUCGCGGGAGGAGCUGG
RNAcentral lists this long non-coding RNA (180 nucleotides) under Numida meleagris (helmeted guineafowl). RNAcentral's name for it is "lncRNA (ENSNMEG00000001227.1)". Lineage: Eukaryota; Metazoa; Chordata; Aves; Galliformes; Numididae. The record is from RNAcentral.